AACGGUUAUACCAUGCUGAAUAUGCCGGUUCUCGUUAGAUCACCGAAGUCAAGCAUCAUUGGGCGCGGUCAGUACUUGGGUGGGUGACCACCUGGGAAUACCGCGUGCCGUU
RNAcentral lists this ribosomal RNA (112 nucleotides) under Caerostris darwini. Lineage: Eukaryota; Metazoa; Arthropoda; Arachnida; Araneae; Araneidae. The record is from RNAcentral.